This 100-nucleotide small nucleolar RNA is filed under the name Echinops telfairi (small Madagascar hedgehog). Lineage: Eukaryota; Metazoa; Chordata; Mammalia; Afrosoricida; Tenrecidae. The record is from RNAcentral.
UUGUAAGAAGUGCAGCCACGUUUUGAGACAAUGAAACAGGUUCAGGAAAGUGACUGGUUAGAAAAUAUUACUCUCUUCGUUUAUUUCCAGGCCUACAAAA